RNAcentral lists this ribosomal RNA (492 nucleotides) under uncultured bacterium. Its description in RNAcentral is "partial 16S ribosomal RNA". It matches the Rfam family "Bacterial small subunit ribosomal RNA", at positions 29 to 507 of the family's 1533-position model. The record is from RNAcentral.
AGUGAACGCUGGCGGUAGGCCUAACACAUGCCAGUCGAACGGCAGCACAGUAAGAGCUUGCUCUUACGGGUGGCGAGUGGCGGACGGGUGAGCAAUACAUCGGAAUCUACUUUUUCGUGGGGGAUAACGUAGGGAAACUUACGCUAAUACCGCAUACGACCUACGGGUGAAAGCAGGGGAUCUUCGGACCUUGCGCGAUUGAAUGAGCCGAUGUCGGAUUAGCUAGUUGGCGGGGUAAAGGCCCACCAAGGCGACGAUCCGUAGCUGGUCUGAGAGGAUGAUCAGCCACACUGGAACUGAGACACGGUCCAGACUCCUACGGGAGGCAGCAGUGGGGAAUAUUGGACAAUGGGCGCAAGCCUGAUCCAGCCAUACCGCGUGGGUGAAGAAGGCCUUCGGGUUGUAAAGCCCUUUUGUUGGGAAAGAAAAGCAGCAGGUUAAUACCCCGCUGUCCUGACGGUACCCAAAGAAUAAGCACCGGCUAACUUCGUG